AAGUCCUUGGUGAGGGCACCUUCUUAGUAAGUCCUUGUAUCUCUCCCAUGCAUCAUAAAGUGUUUCUAAAUUCAUCUGCAUAAAAGAAGAGAUAUCAUUACGUAACUU
This 108-nucleotide small nucleolar RNA is filed under the name Gossypium hirsutum (cotton). RNAcentral describes it as "Plant small nucleolar RNA R71". It matches the Rfam family "Plant small nucleolar RNA R71". From Rfam's summary of the family: R71 is a member of the C/D box family of snoRNAs containing the C (UGAUGA) and D (CUGA) box motifs. Multiple nearly identical copies of this snoRNA have been identified in Arabidopsis, and it is thought to function as a 2'-O-ribose methylation guide for 18S ribosomal RNA. The record is from Rfam by way of RNAcentral. Lineage: Eukaryota; Viridiplantae; Streptophyta; Magnoliopsida; Malvales; Malvaceae.